UGGAAAAGGAUGUGGGAUUUCGAAGACAGCUAGGAUGUUGGCUUAGAAGCAGCCACACAUUCAAAGAGUGCGUAAUAGCUCACUAGUCGAGAGGUCUUGCGCCGAAAAUGUCCGGGGCUAAAACACAACACCGAAGCUUAGGAAUGUAGCAAUACAUUGGUAGAGGAGCAUUUUUAUAGGCGUAGAAGCUGUACCGAUAAGGAGCAGUGGAGUAAUAAAAAGAGAGAAUGCCGGAAUGAGUAGCGAGAUGAAGGUGAGAAUCCUUCAGGCCGAAUAUCUAAGGUUUCCAGAGUAAAGCUGAUCUGCUCUGGGUAAGUCGGGACCUAAGGCAAGGUCGAAAGACGUAGUCGAUGGACAACAGGUUUAGAUUCCUGUACCGCUUAUUAUCAGAAAUGUGGGGACACAGAGACGUAUCCAAACCCAGGAAUGCAAAGACUGGGGCAAGCCAAGUACUGGUAUGGCAGGAAAAUCCGCCAUGCAACAGGAAUAGGUGAUGCGGACCGAAAUCAAGUAGGGAAGUUGGAGAAGGAGCUGUCAAGAAAAGCCGCUAUUGUGUAAUAAGUGCCCGUACCGUAAACCGACACAGGUGGAUGAGGAGAGAAUCCUAAGGCCGGCGGGAGAAGCAUUGUUAAGGAACUCGGCAAAAUGACCCCGUAACUUCGGGAGAAGGGGUGCCAUCCUCCGGGAUGGCCACAGAAAAUAGGCUCAAGCAACUGUUUAGCAAAAACACAGGUCUAUGCGAAACCGAAAGGUGAGGUAUAUGGGCUGACGCCUGCCCGGUGCUGGAAGGUUAAGAGGAGAAGUCAGGCAACGAAGCUUUGAAUUGAAGCCCCAGUAAACGGCGGCCGUAACUAUAACGGUCCUAAGGUAGCGAAAUUCCUUGUCGGGUAAGUUCCGACCCGCACGAAAGGCGUAAUGAUUUGAGCGCUGUCUCAACAAUGCACCCGGUGAAAUUGAAGUACCAGUGAAGAUGCUGGUUACCUGCGCCAGGACGGAAAGACCCCAUGGAGCUUUACUCUAGUUUGAUACUGGGAUUCGAUUAUACCUGUACAGGAUAGGUGGGAGGCGAAGAAGCAAGGACGCCAGUCUUUGCAGAGCCGCUGUUGGGAUACCACCCUUGUAUGAUUGGAUUUCUAACCUGCGCCCGUGAUCCGGGUGGGGGACACUGUCAGAUGGGGAGUUUGACUGGGGCGGUCGCCUCCGAAAGGGUAUCGGAGGCGCUCAAAGGUUCCCUCAGAAUGGUCGGAAACCAUUCAAAGAGUGCAAAGGCAGAAGGGAGCUUGACUGCGACACCGACGGGUGGAGCAGGUACGAAAG
RNAcentral lists this ribosomal RNA (1317 nucleotides) under human metagenome. RNAcentral describes it as "bacterial LSU rRNA". It matches the Rfam family "Bacterial large subunit ribosomal RNA", at positions 1064 to 2405 of the family's 2925-position model. The record is from RNAcentral.